CCUUAAGAUGUCGUGUUGUUGAGUGUUCACACAGAUUGCCUUGAUUCAAAGUAGUUAGAGCAAAGACCUGAUGUGCAAGCAUCAGUGCUUGUUUGGUGAAAGCCAAACGAGAGAAGCCCGUUCGUUGGGUUGGGAUGUGAAUGGCGGCGAAAGUCGUUACCCAAGCCAGAGUUAGCGAUAACAACGAACAGCGCUAAAGGCCGCUAGCCUCGCAGGCUCGGCGUCGCCUUUACGAAAAUCAUUGCGAAGUUUACUUCGCAAAACAUGAUUUUCGUCCCCUUCGUCUAGAGGCCUAGGACACCGCCCUUUCACGGCGGUAACAGGGGUUCGAAUCCCCUAGGGGACGCCACUUCUCUUGCUUAAGAAUACAGACAUAAGCAGUCAUGUUUAUGUCUGUUUUCUUCGGAAAACAUGCUCUUUAACAAUCUGGAAAGCUGAUUUAAAAAGUAGUUCUCAAACAUUUGUUACAAGUGCUUUGGAAACUUCUUGGCGAAAACCAAAUUUUAUUUGGUCCUUGUUGUACGACAACAAGCCGUGCCGGUUUCACCGACACUUCUUGGGGUCGUAU
RNAcentral lists this transfer RNA (568 nucleotides) under Aeromonas caviae. The stretch from base 274 to 346 matches the Rfam family "tRNA". The record is from RNAcentral. Lineage: Bacteria; Pseudomonadati; Pseudomonadota; Gammaproteobacteria; Aeromonadales; Aeromonadaceae.